This 456-nucleotide ribosomal RNA is filed under the name Triticum aestivum (bread wheat). RNAcentral's name for it is "partial small subunit ribosomal RNA". The record is from RNAcentral. Lineage: Eukaryota; Viridiplantae; Streptophyta; Magnoliopsida; Poales; Poaceae.
UGCGCCAAAGCCCUCGCCUCCUGCAGCUCCCUUGUCCUGCCCGGUAAUGAGCGCUCGCCUCCGCCUCCCUGCUCGCGCCUUGCGCCACCGAGCUAUGGGGGCGGCGGAUCUCCGGGGACGAUCGCCGCCAUCGUCACCGCCCUCGGCGGGGGCCUCGCGGCCGUCGGCAUCGUUCGCAUGUCCAGCGCCGACGCCGUCGCUGUCGUCGCCCGCAUGUUCCGGACGGCCAGGAAGGAGCCGGCUCCCUGGAGGCCCCGAAGCCACUUCGUGGAGUACGGGGUCACGCUGGACGGAGAUGGGGGCGUCAUUGAUGAGGUGCUGGUGGUGCCCAUGCUGACUCCAAGAUCCUACACCCGAGAGGAUGUGGUGGAGCUCCAGUGCCAUGGGAAUGACCUUUGCUUGCGUCGCAUGCUGAGGGCCUGCUUGGAGGUCGGUGCCAGGCUCGCCGACCCUGGU